GGGGGAGUGCAGGAUUCUGGUCCGUGUCUCCCUGCGCCUUGGGAUCCAGGGCCUGUGCUGGUAGAAUCACACUCUGGGGGCCAUGCAGUCCUCU
Molecule: microRNA precursor, 94 nt
Filed under: Canis lupus familiaris (dog)
Lineage: Eukaryota; Metazoa; Chordata; Mammalia; Carnivora; Canidae
Also listed under: 1 other name
Description: mir-8799 microRNA precursor family
Rfam family: mir-8799 microRNA precursor family
Source: Rfam by way of RNAcentral